This 88-nucleotide transfer RNA is filed under the name Thermoflexales bacterium. RNAcentral's name for it is "tRNA-Ser". It matches the Rfam family "tRNA". Rfam says of the family: Transfer RNA (tRNA) molecules are approximately 80 nucleotides in length. Their secondary structure includes four short double-helical elements and three loops (D, anti-codon, and T loops). Lineage: Bacteria; Bacillati; Chloroflexota; Thermoflexia; Thermoflexales. RNAcentral also lists the same sequence under 1 other name. The record is from RNAcentral.
GGAGAGAUGCCAGAGUGGUUGAAUGGGACGGUCUCGAAAACCGUUGUAGGUCUAUGGCCUACCGUGAGUUCGAAUCUCACUCUCUCCG